RNAcentral lists this ribosomal RNA (876 nucleotides) under uncultured crenarchaeote. RNAcentral describes it as "bacterial SSU rRNA". It matches the Rfam family "Archaeal small subunit ribosomal RNA", at positions 21 to 903 of the family's 1478-position model. The record is from RNAcentral. Lineage: Archaea; Thermoproteati; Thermoproteota.
ACCUGACUGCUAUCGGAUUGAUACUAAGCCAUGCGAGUCUUUGCAGUAAUGCAAGGCAUACGGCUCAGUAACGCGUAGUCAACCUAACCUAUGGACGGGAAUAACCUCGGGAAACUGAGAAUAAUGCCCGAUAGAACACUAUACCUGGAAUGGUUUGUGUUCCAAAUGAUUUAUCGCCAUAGGAUGGGACUGCGGCCUAUCAGUUUGUUGGUGAGGUAAUGGCCCACCAAGACUAUUACAGGUACGGGCUCUGAGAGGAGUAGCCCGGAGAUGGGUACUGAGACACGGACCCAGGCCCUAUGGGGCGCAGCAGGCGAGAAAACUUUGCAAUGUGCGAAAGCACGACAAGGUUAAUCCGAGUGAUUUGUGCUAAACGAAUCUUUUGUUAGUCCUAGAAACACUAACGAAUAAGGGGUGGGCAAGUUCUGGUGUCAGCCGCCGCGGUAAAACCAGCACCUCAAGUGGUCAGGAUGAUUAUUGGGCCUAAAGCAUCCGUAGCCGGCUCUGUAAGUUUUCGGUUAAAUCUGUACGCUCAACGUACAGGCUGCCGGGAAUACUGCAGAACUAGGGAGUGGGGGAGGUAGACGGUACUCGGUAGGAAGUGGUAAAAUGCUUUGAUCUAUCGAUGACCACCUGUGGCGAAGGCGGUCUACCAGAACACGUCCGACGGUGAGGGAUGAGAGCUGGGGGAGCAAACCGGAUUAGAUACCCGGGUAGUCCCAGCUGUAAACUAUGCAAACUCAGUGAUGCAUUGGCUUGUGGCCAAUGCAGUGCUGCAGGGAAGCCGUUAAGUUUGCCGCCUGGGAAGUACGUACGCAAGUAUGAAACUUAAAGGAAUUGGCGGGGGAGCACCACAAGGGGUGAAGCCUGCGGUUC